Molecule: long non-coding RNA, 818 nt
Organism: Aplysia californica (California sea hare)
Lineage: Eukaryota; Metazoa; Mollusca; Gastropoda; Aplysiida; Aplysiidae
Exons: 2
Source: RefSeq, a predicted model, not a curated record
CAGUCCUGGUAUAAUUAGCUCGUGUCUUUUCCUUGUUUGUUGCGGAGUCCGACAAAAUGCUGAGAAGUCGACAAAAACACUCGUGGUUUCAGAUCGCUUUGUGAAACAACCGAAUCCGCGUGUUUAAUAUUCCCCCACGGAUUUUCUUUUUCAAUUUGUUUAUAACAUUUGCAAGAAUUUUUUUUUUCUUCUGAUUGACUCACUUGUGGUGAAAACAAGAAUGUGGCGAGCCCCACACAGGAAGUAGACAGGGUUCCAAGGGGCAUCCUGGGAAUGGGAGUACUUUGCGUGAGAGAUAAGGAUGAGAGCUGGCGAUAGAGGUGAAAAAACACGCAAUGGAAACUGGAGAUUGUAUGAGUGGAGUCAUGGCGAACCGAUGUGCGUGUAUUGUGCCGCAGCCAGACGCUCUGCAGUUGUAGACAGGAGACCCAAGUUCGAUUCUGGAGUGGGAAACGUGUUUAUAUAUUUCUAGACGCAUGCUCAUAAUCAGAUUUGUGGUGAUGAUGAUAACGAUGACGGCAUGACAACCACGAUAAUUGUGCUGCUGCUGCUGCUGCUAUUGCUGCUGCUCCUGCUACUGCUGCUGCUGCUGCUGCUGCUGCUGAUGAUGAUGAUGACGUUGAAAGCGGACUGAAAAUUACUCAUGACAUCACCUCCAUAUUUGCCUUUUUGGCAAUGGUGAUGGUGUCACUGCUGCUGAGACUGCAGCUGUUGCUGUUGUUAUUGCCGUUUCUGCUGUUUCUGCUGUUGCUGUUGAUGUGAUGAUAACGCUGAACAUAUUUUAUAAUGUCAUUAAACUUCAAAUACUAAAUACUCCA